This 245-nucleotide ribosomal RNA is filed under the name uncultured Solitalea sp. Its description in RNAcentral is "partial 16S ribosomal RNA". It matches the Rfam family "Bacterial small subunit ribosomal RNA", at positions 524 to 768 of the family's 1533-position model. The record is from RNAcentral. Lineage: Bacteria; Pseudomonadati; Bacteroidota; Sphingobacteriia; Sphingobacteriales; Sphingobacteriaceae.
UACGGAGGAUGCGAGCGUUAUCCGGAUUUAUUGGGUUUAAAGGGUGCGCAGGCGGCACGUUAAGUCAGCGGUGAAAUGUCGGGGCUCAACCCCGUCACUGCCGUUGAAACUGGCGAGCUCGAGUACGGAUGAAGUGGGCGGAAUGUGAUGUGUAGCGGUGAAAUGCUUAGAUAUGUCACAGAACACCGAUUGCGAAGGCAGCUCACUAAUCCGCAACUGACGCUCAUGCACGAAAGCGUGGGGAU